Molecule: long non-coding RNA, 1516 nt
Filed under: Heterocephalus glaber (naked mole-rat)
Lineage: Eukaryota; Metazoa; Chordata; Mammalia; Rodentia; Bathyergidae
Description: lncRNA (ENSHGLG00100047951.1)
Source: RNAcentral
GUUCUCACCAGAUACUCAAAAGGUAACUAGGUGACGUGAUGAAUAUGUUAGCUUGAUUAUGAUAAUUAUUUCACAAUGCAUACUUAAAAUAUCACUCUGCACAUCUUAAAUAUAUAUAAUUUUUAUUUGUUGAUGACCAUCAUAAAGCCUGCAAAAAGUCUUUCAUGUUGUCUUGAGUCAAUUUCUUAUUUUGUGAAAAUAAAUUUAGUGCAUACUGUUUGCAUGAGUUUUGAAGCUUGUGUUAUAACCCGGAAGCCAAUAACAGGGUAGUGUGAGUGAAGUUACUGAUCCUCAGGGUGGUUAAGGCUCAAGGCUUGGGCUGAGUCUAGUCUUGAGCAGCCUCUCCUGAUAGCCCCUGCAUGAUCAGUGCAUAUUCUUUUUUUCUGAAUGUGCCUUUUCUUCUCCUUUCCUUCCACUCCAAAGUCCUGAAGACUCCAGCUCUCCUGGACUAUGUAGAAGGGGAGCUUUAAGUCUGGUACAACCUUCCUGCACCAUUCUGCAUCCCCUGCAGCAGUGACUCCAGAGCCACCUGGGGAUUGGACCUAGUACCUUGUCUUAAUGCUAUAUGUGGGCUGACAGAUUACUGGAGCCUCUCCUCAUUGGUCCUAAUGUUCCUUAAGUAUUUUUUUUUUUUUUGGUACCGGAGACUGAACUCGGGACCUUGUGCUUGCGUGGUCCUAAUGUUUUUAUGAAGCUUUAAUGGGAGUGAGAGCCCUUGGGUUUAGCUGGCUGUAUAGUCACAGGUGUACAUGUUCAUAAGCAUGUCUUCUUUAUCUAUAAUUUCUUCAGUCUACAGCCUUUUUCUCCUUGGAUACAGGCACCUUGAAUUCCAUCUUUUAUUAAAAAGUGGGCCUAGUUCUUUUCAUUCAUAUUUUUCUGCUAUAUUUUCUCUGUAAAUUUAUUUCCAAAGUGAUUUUUUGGACCCUUAGAGUUUUUGAUAUUUAAAAAUCUGAUAAUUCUUAUCUUUGUUCUAUUUAAUUAUUGUUUUGUUAUGACAUUUCUACCAUCUUAUUUUAUGCUUUGCUUCUGUACUUUAUCAUUUUGCUCUUUUAUAUCUCCCACUUGAUAGAUCACAUAUUCUUCUGUUUGUUUGAAAUUUGGAAAUUUUUGAUAUUGUCAUGCAGUUACAUAAUUAAUUAUGUCAAUCUUCUCCCUAGUUGUAUACAUGAGCCAAUACUGCCAUCAUCUCAGCAGACUGAACAAGUUCUCCAGCCACCUCUAGAGGUGCAGCUUUGUCCAGUACUCUGUUGGAUUCUUGCCUCCAGUGUUGAUGUAGGAAAACCUGACAUCAAUCAAAAUCAAAUUUUCCUUAAAGGAUGAUCUGGCUUGUCAUCAUUUCAUCAGGAUCAAUCUUCAAUGUUAAAACUUGACUGCAUCAGAACUCAACUAGCAGAUAAGAGCCCCUGACUCUGUUAACCUCUGACAGCUUAUCUUAUUUAAGCUGUAAAUACUGGGGCUGUGGAAUCAUCUCUGUAUUCUUCUAAAAGUGAAUGUUGGGAUAAUUGAAGACUCUGGG